GGAAGCCAAAUGAUAGACUCCUUCUAAUAGACUUCUAGAACAAGGCAUGUCUGUUGUUGGCAUUGACGUAGGAGUUUUCUUCUUGGUUACUCUGGAAACUGGGGAUCCCUGGCUGGUGCCACCCUACCUGGGGCUCACUUGCACACACUGGCAUGCCCCAGCUUGCCUGUGUUACAGCUUGUAGCCACGUUUGGCAUUCCUGAGCUCUUGUACUGUGCCCAAGAAGAAUGAGGUUAUGCUGGACAUUGAAGCGUGAGGAGGGCAAAGAAGCAUUUUUAUCGAGCAAUGGAAAUAGUUUUCAGCAGAGAGAGGAUGCGAGGUUGGACCUCCUACCUGAAGGACAACAGAAGUUUCAGGAAAAACCACCAGUCAUUAUAUGAAGAUUAUACAUUGGUUUGGCCCAGAAAGGCAAGACAUCUUGAAGCAGGGGUUUACAGAUCAUAGAAGCUAUUUUCUGAAUGAAAGAGUGGAGGUACCAGGAUGGUCUCCUUGAAUGAUGGCUGGAGCCUGUUAUGAUAAUGUCACUACUAUAUGUUUGUCUUCUGGAAUAUCUUUUGGAAAUUAUGAUGCCAUUAGCCAAGAAUCUGCUGGUAAUGCAAGAAUGUCAUGUGUGGAGGUUAUUCCUGGCAAAGUCUGUGCAAGGGGACCCAGAUACAAAUCAUUUUACUCAAGUCUUGGAGCAGCCUUCGAAGAAAAACAAAUUUCAUACCAGCCAGAACCUGAGUGGAGGCCAAGAACUGCCAACAUGUUUGGAAGGCCAAACGCUUUUAGAAAUAUGGUCCCUGACUACCUUUUAGAGAGACUAUCACUUGAAAAAGAAAGUGACUUGGAACUUUGUUAUUUACAAAC
Molecule: long non-coding RNA, 849 nt
Filed under: Callithrix jacchus (white-tufted-ear marmoset)
Lineage: Eukaryota; Metazoa; Chordata; Mammalia; Primates; Cebidae
Description: lncRNA (ENSCJAG00000055944.2)
Source: RNAcentral